Molecule: ribosomal RNA, 578 nt
Filed under: Semotilus atromaculatus (creek chub)
Lineage: Eukaryota; Metazoa; Chordata; Actinopteri; Cypriniformes; Leuciscidae
Description: partial large subunit ribosomal RNA
Rfam family: Bacterial large subunit ribosomal RNA
Source: RNAcentral
CGCCUCUUGCAAUACACUAAGUAUAAGAGGUCCAGCCUGCCCAGUGACUACGGGUUCAACGGCCGCGGUAUUCUGACCGUGCAAAGGUAGCGCAAUCACUUGUCUCUUAAAUAGAGACCUGUAUGAAUGGCUAGACGAGGGCUUAACUGUCUCCCCCUUCCAGUCAGUGAAAUUGAUCUAUCCGUGCAGAAGCGGGUAUAAAUUUACAAGACGAGAAGACCCUUUGGAGCUUAAGGUACAAAAUUCAACCACGUCAAACGACUCCAUAAGAAGCAAAAACUUAGUGGCACAUGGACCUUUACCUUCGGUUGGGGCGACCAUGGAGGAAAAACGAGCCUCCCAGUGGACCGGGCCAUAACCCCUGAAGCCAAAAGAGACAUCUUUAGGCCGCAGAAUAUCUGACCAACAAUGAUCCGGCCAACAAAGCCGAUCAACGAACCAAGUUACCCUAGGGAUAACAGCGCAAUCCUCUCCCAGAGUCCAUAUCUACGAGGGGGUUUACGACCUCGAUGUUGGAUCAGGACAUCCUAAUGGUGCAGCCGCUAUUAAGGGUUCGUUUGUUCAACGAUUAAAGUCCU